GUAGAGCAAAGGAUUGAAGCUCCUUGUGUCGGCGGUCCGAUUCCGUCCCGCGCCA
This is a non-coding RNA of Lactobacillus kalixensis DSM 16043, 55 nucleotides long. NCBI's taxonomy places the organism in Bacteria, Bacillati, Bacillota, Bacilli, Lactobacillales, Lactobacillaceae. The record is from Rfam.